GCUAGACACAGAGGGACGGAGACCGAGGCUCGGAGAAGUAGUUCAGGAAGAGAGAAAAGAAGGGAUUCAGAGACUUAAAAGGAGAAAAAGAACAGGAGGCGGCCAUUCCCAGAGACCCAUAAAGAGACGGACCCAAGGACGUGGAGGACAGAGCCCUCUUCCCAGCCUGGCGGGAGUCUCCCCACUUUGAAUUGGGCCAAAGGGGUCCAACUUACUAGGCCUCUGGGGAAGGGUGUCCGUGAGCUACUGGAGAACCUCCCCAAGGGCUCAGCUGGGAAACACCUGUCCUUCAACAGGAAGAUUUACUCCAAACUUCAAGUCUGGCUUGUUAGAGAGUAGAAGACUGACUACUCCCCAGGUAUGGAGCCCAGGCCCGUGAGGCAGGAAGAUGAGAAAACUGAGGCGCUGAAAGUCGGGAAGGGACAGGGAUUGGACUCAAAUGCUGUUUCUCUGACUCCAGUCAUUAGAAGCGAUUUCUCAACACCAAACUUGCUCUUCUCCCACUCCGACGCCCUCUGCACCUCCGCUGACGCCCUAAGCACGGAAUACUCCCCGACGUGUGGCUGGAAAUAACUCCUCUGUCCGAGGUGCCUUCGAGUCCCUGAGGCACAAUGGACUCUGCCUUGGAUUUCAGCAAGCCAUUGUCGGGAUCUUCGGAGUUCGUGUAUCUCUGCUUUACCAUGUUUCUUAUUGUAUUGAAAUUUGUGUGAAGUGUUUGUCAUCCCUACUUGUCUGGGAGUCACUGAAACUCAAUGUUGUUAGCCCUGCUCAGUUUCCCAGAACUGGCUGAUGAGCUUCCAGGACUUGUAGAAGCUCUUCUCCUUGCCUCCCUAAUUUCUCUCCUCUUGAGGCCUCUUUAAGGUUCUCUUGAGAUGAUAGGGCUAAGGCAGUAGAGACAAGUUCUGGAAGAAUAGAACAUCAGUGCAGCAGAAAAGUAUAGGCAGGAUGUCAAGGUCAAGAGAGCCAGUCCCCUGCCUCAGGCCUUAGUGCAGGCUGGUCAUUAAUGCAGCCCUGCGUUCUUCUUGGCCUUCGAAUAAAAAGACAUUUCAUGCCCAAGGACCUCAGUAAUGAGGAACCAGGGAGGGGCUGGGGAGCCUGCAGGUUCAGCAAAACCUUCCCCACCUCAGAAGCCUCCCCUCCUUCCUUCCUCCUCCUCUCUCUCUCUGAAGUCAGCGAAACCUUUCAGCAGCUUCUGGAAGAAGGAGGUUCCUCUGCCUUUGGAGAAGGGAGAGGGAUGAAGGGCUCUGGCAAGGCCUCUUUAGAGGCCCCCUGGAGCCUCGCAUCUCUGCCCCCACCUUUCUACCAAGGACAAACCAUCUUUACCUUGGAGAAGCCCAUCGGUCUGUGGGGAAAGGCUGAGCCCAGGCCCUGGAGGAUGGGGGCGGUGCUUUCCCAUAUUCUCCAGUCCCUCACCCCUUAGAACCUGGGCUGCUCCUGAUCAGGCUAGCACAUCCCUAUCCUAACUCUAACCUGCUGCCCCUGCCCUGGGCUACAGUGACUUUGCCGAGUGUCGCAAACCUGUCUGAAACUGUCUGGGGCAUUUUGGACUUACCAACACAUCCCUUUGCUUUUUUACGAAGCAUUAGACUUGACUCUUUUUUCUAUUUUCCCUUUCUCUCUACCUUACCUGUCCUGUCCAGUCUCCCUGCGGAGUCUUUUCUUAACGCUCGUGCUAUGGGAAACUUCCUCCCCCGCCCUUUACCCAGCUUGAACGUUGGGUGCACAGAAACACACAUGCAAACUGAGAGGUGCAUGCAGACCCUGCCUCCCAAAAACACACGAACAAACUCGUGAGCAUAGCACAUUCACCCAUCACGAAUCCUGGGCUGGCCUCUGUGCUGUGCCCCACUGACAAGCAUGCACGCAGAGAAGAGUGCAACCACACAGGUUAGCACGCUCCCACAAACACAAAUACACAACCAAUCAACAUGCCAAGCUCAGCUGCUGAAGUUGGUCCUGCCAUCGAAUCUUCUGGAGUUUGCCAGGGACCAGGGAAGUGCCUUCUUUGUCCUCGGUGGGAACUCAGGAUAUGUAGGAUAAUGUAUGCUCGAGGAUAUCUGGGGCUUGUAUAAUUGUAUGGCAGGAUUGGGAAGAGCCACUCCCCACAAGGCAUGGAGCUCCAGUGGAGUUGUUCCAGAGGACCUGGGGAAGUAGGAGGGGCACACAUCUGAGCAGAGGGAUGUGGUCCGGUCAUUGGAAGCCAAACCCGCCCAUCAUCUGCGCUCUAAAUCAGGUGAAGCUCCUAAGGCAGGAAGGAGGGACCUAGAGGGCGGGCUCCGAAGGGGGCAUGGAGUGGAAACAGGAAGGGAAGGAGCUCUUUGGGCCUCUCUUGGGAAGUGGCCCUCAGUUCCCACAAGGUAGACAUAACACUUUCCUUGGGGGUGGCUGCUUGGGCCCUGAUGAAGCCAGGCCUGACCGUGGCCAGGAACAGCAGUGGAGCUAUAAAGGGUUUGUUUCCACCUCAGUGUCCUUGAAGCAAACCACUCAUGGCAAAGAGAAACGGACUAGAGUAAAGGUGGGGCUUCAGGAGGCCAGAGAGGAGGGAAGUAUAAUGGAAAGACCAAAGGCAUUGAUGUUUGAACAGGAUUCAAGUUUUCCCUGUGCCUCUCCACUGGCUGUGUGGUUUUGGGCAACACACUCAACCUCUCCGAUCCUCAGUUUACUCCUCUAUAAAAUCAAGAUACACUACCUACUUCAUAUGGUUGUGGUGAAGAAUAAAAGAGACGAAAAGACUGGCUGGCACACGGCAGGAUCCAAGAGAUGGGGGCUGUGUAUGAGAAGGCCUUCCUUUCAUGAAGGAGAUUUGGGCUGCUGGGGCCAAGGCAGGACCCAGAAAAAGAAAGGCAGCUAGAAGCUGAAGUUCCUGUUCCUGGUCAAGCGAGCAGAGCACAGUGGUUCAUAAUCUAAUGCCAGACUCCCUGAGUUCAAGUCCUUGCAGCUAUAUGACCUACAGCAAGUUUCUUUUCUUUUCUAAGAUUUAUUUUUUAUUUGAGAGAGAGUGCAUGAGUGGGAGGGACAGAGGCGGAGGGAGAGAGAAACUCCAGCAGACCCCACCCUGAGUGCAGA
Long non-coding RNA from Ailuropoda melanoleuca (giant panda), 3066 nucleotides. RefSeq lists it as uncharacterized. Lineage: Eukaryota; Metazoa; Chordata; Mammalia; Carnivora; Ursidae. The record is from RefSeq and is a predicted model, not a curated record. The transcript is spliced from 4 exons.